GCGCGCGACCGCACGUACCAGUAACCGCGUCGUCAGGUAGACGGGCACAACGGACUCGACGCGUGUGGGUAUGUUACUCGCGGUGCACCUAUGCCGCCACAAUGUCGUUUUCCUCUAGUAGUCGUCGUCGUCGUCGCGGCGGCCGUCGUACGCAAUAACGCAAUAUUGUCGUUAUUGUUAUUAUUAUUGUUAUCACCAUCAUCAUCAUAGGUGGGUACUAUCUACGUAAUACCGCUACGCUCUCGUCGAACGAUUUUUCACACGCACGCGGUCCCGACGUGGGUUUCGCGUUUCGCGUUUAGAGGCAGGCAGAUAGAAUACGGGCGACCGAGUGCCGGUUUUUCGCGCGCGAUCCGUCCGUCAGUUUGGUGCGCGCGUGCCGCACACGCCCGUCCGCGAACCGGCGCACACCCGCGUGCGAUCCCGUCGCCUACGUAAACGCCGGUGUCCGGGUGAUAAACGAAAUAAUACCGAAGGAAAUCCCGGAUUCCCGCGGUCUUUUCGCCGACGCGAAAAUCUCCUUCUCCUUCUCCUACUCCUCAUUCUCCGACGGACCGCCGGUGUACAGUUGUCGGCCGAGCGACCGACGACCCGACCCGCCGUGCCAAUAGUACGCAAUACGAGUACCGUCGCGCAGUGCCGGCCGACUAGUGCGACACGAUGCUGGACGCUUUGCGGACGUGUUUCGCGUGCGCGCCACGGAAAAAACGGUAAGGCCAACGCUGCGGUUCUGGUUAUUUUUAAUUAGUUUUCGGUUAUUCGCGGGCGGCGAUGAGAAAGUACGUUCGGAACGGUACGGAACGCCGUGAUCGACGAGCUUCAUCCCCGGGAAAUAAUGAAAAUCGGUGUUCCGAUCGGAACCCGACGCACGGUUACCCAAAUAGUCGUUCGGUACAAACAAUAAUGCGGCCGAUAUGAAACGAAAAAUUAAAAACGGCUUUAAACGUUUGAAAACGGAUUGUUUCCCGGUGAUUUUUUCAACAGUAUUGAACGCGUUCGAAAUUUAAACGGGUUUAAAACCAGCCGGGAUGACAAUCCGCUCCGCGUACGUCUCGAUAAGAGACAAUCGUUUUGAUUUUCCACUAAUUAAAUUAAUUUAAAAAAAUUAAAAAGCUACUGCUUUAAAAUUGUCAAUUAUUUUAUCUACGAAAAUCUCUACGUGAGUGAAAUUUGUCAUGUUUAAAACACCUGUUCAAAUCGACAAAUCAAUUUUUUUAAACGUUUUGAUAAGAACAAUGUUUUUAAACACGAGUUUAAUACAAAUCAACUCUGACAGGAUAUCUUAGUCAGCCAUUUUCGGUUAAUCGAUAUGAUUUUAGCAUACUUUUUAGGAAGAGUACAACGUUUUACCUUAUCGUUUCAUGUAUAACGCGCGACUAUUAUUCUGUAUAAUAUUUAUUUAGUUUUCAAUAAAAUUAUCAAUAUAGUGUGUAAACAUUUAUUUUAUUCUGAUAAAUCGUACGGAGAAUAUUUUCCAUUUUAUUGUUUA
This 1489-nucleotide long non-coding RNA is filed under the name Cinara cedri. Lineage: Eukaryota; Metazoa; Arthropoda; Insecta; Hemiptera; Aphididae. The record is from RNAcentral.